CAGGCCUCCCUCUGCUUGGUUCCAGUCGUGGGCAUGAGUGAGGGGUGAUGCUUGAUGGCUUUGAUGCCAUCGGUGGGAAUGUGUUUAAGCAUCGGCCUUCCCUCAUGCCCACGAUGGUCUACAGUCUUGGGUAUGAGUCAGUGACGAUGCUUGUUUGUUUUGAUGCUUGCGUUGGAACUUGCUUGAGCAACCGACCUGACGAAGUACCCAUGAAUGWCGCGCGCCGGUGUUGAGACUUGCUUAAGCAACCGACCUGACGAAGUACCCAUGAAUGUCGCCCGGGUGUGAGAGCUUCACGUAGUAGGGAUGUGUCCCUGCGCCCAACGACAUUUUUUGUCGGGAUCGUGGCAAGUCUGCGAUCCAGGGGGUGAUGUUGAGAGCCGGAAGGCAAGGGGGUGCAAACACCAGUCGGCCUUUGUCCCGAUUGCUGAGUGUUAUGUGCUUGAUGUCCAAGGCUUGAUGCUGAUCCUCCAAGUGGGGCUUGUCCCUGCACCAAUGGCUAUUGCCAGGAUCAUGGCGUUUGCUAUGAUCGAAAAAAUGAGGGGGUGAUGUUGAGAGCCGGAAGGCAAGUGGGUGCAAACACCAGUCGGCCUUUGUCCCGAUUGCUGAGUGUUAUGUGCUUGACGUCCAAGGCUUGAUGUUGAUCCUCCAAGUGGGGCUUUUUUGUUCCUGCGGUAACGACUUUGUUGGGAUCAUUGUGAUCAAGUUUGGUUGGUUUCGUAUUGUGGUGGGUUUUUUCGAAGCUUCUAUCGUUGUUUUACGCAUCGUGCGGUGCAUCUUGGGGGCUGUUUUGGCUUUUGGUUGCUUGCUUGGGCUUUAUGCUAGGCGGGUGGCUAAU
RNAcentral lists this unclassified non-coding RNA (838 nucleotides) under Espeletia josephensis. Its description in RNAcentral is "Ruilopezia josephensis partial external transcribed spacer". Lineage: Eukaryota; Viridiplantae; Streptophyta; Magnoliopsida; Asterales; Asteraceae. The record is from RNAcentral.